GCUAGACGCGGGCGAGUGGCGUGGGUAAUACGGAGGGGGGGAGCGUGGUCCGGAGUCAGUGUGCGGAAAGGGGGCGUAGGGGGGCCGUUAAGGGGCGGGUGAAAGCCCGCGGCGCAACCGCGGGGCGGCCGGUAAGACUGGCGGGCUCGGGCACGGGAGAGGCAGAUGGAAUUCCCGGUGUAGCGGUGGAAUGCGUAGAGAUCGGGAAGAACACCAGUGGCGAAGGCGUUCGGCUGGGCCGUUGCUGACGCUGAGGCGCGACAGCGUGGGGAGCAAACAGGAUUAGAUACCCCGGUAGUC
Molecule: ribosomal RNA, 300 nt
Filed under: uncultured Aeropyrum sp.
Lineage: Archaea; Thermoproteati; Thermoproteota; Thermoprotei; Acidilobales; Acidilobaceae
Description: bacterial SSU rRNA
Rfam family: Bacterial small subunit ribosomal RNA
Source: RNAcentral